UAAAAUCUAAAAAACAACUUUUGGCAACGGAUCUCUUGGUUCUCCCAUCGAUGAAAAACGCAGCGAAUUGCGAUAAGUAAUGUGAAUUGCAAAAUUGAAUCAUCGAAUCUUUGAACGCUCCUUGCGCUCCUUGCAGAUCUAAUCUGGGAAGCAUGCCUAAUUGAG
This 165-nucleotide ribosomal RNA is filed under the name Sporisorium scitamineum. Its description in RNAcentral is "5.8S ribosomal RNA". It matches the Rfam family "5.8S ribosomal RNA". Rfam says of the family: 5.8S ribosomal RNA (5.8S rRNA) is a component of the large subunit of the eukaryotic ribosome. It is transcribed by RNA polymerase I as part of the 45S precursor that also contains 18S and 28S rRNA. Lineage: Eukaryota; Fungi; Basidiomycota; Ustilaginomycetes; Ustilaginales; Ustilaginaceae. The record is from RNAcentral.